This 450-nucleotide ribosomal RNA is filed under the name uncultured Escherichia sp. Its description in RNAcentral is "bacterial SSU rRNA". It matches the Rfam family "Bacterial small subunit ribosomal RNA", at positions 30 to 474 of the family's 1533-position model. Lineage: Bacteria; Pseudomonadati; Pseudomonadota; Gammaproteobacteria; Enterobacterales; Enterobacteriaceae. The record is from RNAcentral.
AUUGAACGCUGGCGGCAGGCCUAACACAUGCAAGUCGAACGGUAACAGGAAGAAGCUUGCUUCUUUGCUGACGAGUGGCGGACGGGUGAGUAAUGUCUGGGAAACUGCCUGAUGGAGGGGGAUAACUACUGGAAACGGUAGCUAAUACCGCAUAACGUCGCAAGACCAAAAAGGGGGACCUUCGGGCCUCUUGCCAUCGGAUGUGCCCAGAUGGGAUUAGCUAGUAGGUGGGGUAACGGCUCACCUAGGCGACGAUCCCUAGCUGGUCUGAGAGGAUGACCAGCCACACUGGAACUGAGACACGGUCCAGACUCCUACGGGAGGCAGCAGUGGGGAAUAUUGCACAAUGGGCGCAAGCCUGAUGCAGCCAUGCCGCGUGUAUGAAGAAGGCCUUCGGGUUGUAAAGUACUUUCAGCGGGGAGGAAGGGAGUAAAGUUAAUACCUUUGCUC